This 253-nucleotide ribosomal RNA is filed under the name uncultured bacterium. Its description in RNAcentral is "partial 16S ribosomal RNA". It matches the Rfam family "Bacterial small subunit ribosomal RNA", at positions 524 to 776 of the family's 1533-position model. The record is from RNAcentral.
UACGUAGGGUGCGAGCGUUAAUCGGAAUUACUGGGCGUAAAGGGUCCGUAGGCGGCCCUGUAAGUCAGUGGUGAAAUCUCCCGGCUCAACCGGGAAAUUGCCAUUGAUACUGCAGGGCUUGAAUUAUCGGGAAGCAACUAGAAUAUGUAGUGUAGCGGUGAAAUGCUUAGAUAUUACAUGGAAUACCGAUUGCGAAGGCAGGUUGCUACCGGUGGAUUGACGCUGAUGGACGAAAGCGUGGGGAGCGAACAGG